AGGGCCUUUGCUCAGUAGCAGAGCACCUGCUCUCCAUGCAGAAGCCUCUGGGUUCAAUCCCCAGUAUCUCUAGGUCCCA
This is a non-coding RNA of Podarcis lilfordi (Lilford's wall lizard), 79 nucleotides long. NCBI's taxonomy places the organism in Eukaryota, Metazoa, Chordata, Lepidosauria, Squamata, Lacertidae. The record is from the annotation of a GenBank genome assembly.